GAUGAACGCCGGCGGUGUGCCUAAUACAUGCAAGUCGAACGCGUUGGCCCAAUUGAUUGACGGUGCUUGCACCUGAUUGAUUUUGGUUGCCAACGAGUGGCGGACGGGUGAGUAACACGUAGGUAACCUGCCCAGAAGCGGGGGACAACAUUUGGAAACAGAUGCUAAUACCGCAUAACAGCGUUGUUCGCAUGAACAACGCUUAAAAGAUGGCUUCUCGCUAUCACUUCUGGAUGGACCUGCGGUGCAUUAGCUUGUUGGUGGGGUAACGGCCUACCAAGGCGAUGAUGCAUAGCCGAGUUGAGAGACUGAUCGGCCACAAUGGGACUGAGACACGGCCCAUACUCCUACGGGAGGCAGCAGUAGGGAAUCUUCCACAAUGGGCGCAAGCCUGAUGGAGCAACACCGCGUGAGUGAAGAAGGUUUUCGGAUCGUAAAGCUCUGUUGUUGGUGAAGAAGGAUAGAGGUAGUAACUGGCCUUUAUUUGACGGUAAUCAACCAGAAAGUCACGGCUAACUACGUGCCAGCAGCCGCGGUAAUACGUAGGUGGCAAGCGUUGUCCGGAUUUAUUGGGCGUAAAGCGAGCGCAGGCGGAAGAAUAAGUCUGAUGUGAAAGCCCUCGGCUUAACCGAGGAACUGCAUCGGAAACUGUUUUUCUUGAGUGCAGAAGAGGAGAGUGGAACUCCAUGUGUAGCGGUGGAAUGCGUAGAUAUAUGGAAGAACACCAGUGGCGAAAGCGGCUCUCUGGUCUGCAACUGACGCUGAGGCUCGAAAGCAUGGGUAGCGAACAGG
RNAcentral lists this ribosomal RNA (792 nucleotides) under uncultured Lactobacillus sp. RNAcentral's name for it is "bacterial SSU rRNA". It matches the Rfam family "Bacterial small subunit ribosomal RNA", at positions 28 to 776 of the family's 1533-position model. Lineage: Bacteria; Bacillati; Bacillota; Bacilli; Lactobacillales; Lactobacillaceae. The record is from RNAcentral.